Molecule: long non-coding RNA, 1288 nt
Organism: Ornithodoros turicata
Lineage: Eukaryota; Metazoa; Arthropoda; Arachnida; Ixodida; Argasidae
Exons: 2
Source: RefSeq, a predicted model, not a curated record
GCUCGGGAGAACCUGGACGUCGCAAGGUUGGACCAGGCUCGCCAGUACAACCGUGGACGUCGGAACCUCACCUACAGCGUCGGUGACCUCGUCCUUCGACGGACUCACCCGCUAAGUGAUGCGUCACGAGGCUUUGCAGCUUCACUCGCAGAUAGGCUUCGUCGCUGCGACACCGGCGAAGAGACUGGGCCGGUUCACAUCUCGGACUUGAAGUCUUACCAUCUCCGAGACCCGGACGGAGAGGAGCCAGAUUCGCAACCUGCCUCCCUCCAAGACCUGGACCCGGAUCCCGUUCCCGGACCUGCGUCCAGUCGCUACGACUUGCGUCCCCGCAGGCGGCGCACGUAGUCGCCACUAUCUCCAUCGCUAAGCAUAGUGCUUGUGAUUUAGUGCUUUAGUAGUGUGAUUUCUGUUGCACAGUUUUCCGCUGUUUUUCCUAGGGAGUGCCCUUCGGGCGCUUACGGCUUAGGGAUACCCCCUUUACCGUGUUCCCGUCUCUCUCGCAGUUUCAAUGCCACGUUCCGCUCUACCUCCACACCGCCCGGUUUCCCGGUCCCGUUCACGCGGAGACCCAGCACGGAAUUCUGGACCCCCGGACCGCACAGCCCGCUCCUCACCUCCACACCGCUCCGUGGCCACCUGGACGGUCGUGGCCAAUGGCCUGCCUGUGGCAUGGACGUCACGGUCCCGCUGGAGCAGCCAGCCCCGGCCGCUGCGGGGAGAAGACCCGUCACGGACUCCUGCCCCGUUCAGGGGUCACACACUAACAGACAGGCACCCCUCGGACCCCCUCCAACCUCUGACCGCCGAGGAGAGGCGGAUUCUCUGUCCGCAAUGUCAAGUACCCGAGGUGCACAGGGGGACCCACCGCAGAGGCGCCCUGCACCAAGCCCGCCUCGAAGCAACCCGAACAAUGUCCGACGUUGCCACCGCCAUCACUACAUUACGUCGCCUUCGUCCCGAACUGCUGGUGGAGUCCGCACCUGCCAGGCAGCCCACAACACAACCGGUUCCUCCGGUACCCGACGACGCCAUUCUCGACAUCACCGACGAUCUGAUGGCCCUUUAAGGGGGGAGGAGUGUGGUCGAGCACCACGAAGCUUUCUACACAAGCCCCUGGAUGGCGCUUCAGCAAGUGUCUCAACCUUGGCCUCCGAUAAGAGGGGCGUUGCUUCAAAGAUAAAAGGCAGGGUGCGACAGGGGAAGGGAUCUUUUUCCGGGAGAUGCUUGCCCUGGCGCGGUACACGUUGUGGCAGAGAAGGUGAAUAAACGAUGUUGUUGCAUUAAA